CUUUUCCUCGUGAGCCUCUCAUGUGAGCAGAUGUGAGAUGCAGUUUCGGAAGAUUCAAGGCACCGAAAUGAGAGAGAUUAAGGUCAGAGAAGCUGAAGGCAAUUGAGAGUGACGUCUGAAACAGGGUUCAUCUGCAAAUGUCCUGGUUCAUUUGAUGUACAUGUAUAUUAGUUCCUUGGCCAGGUUUUCUUCCCUUUGUUCUGCUCUUGUUCCAUGUGAGUUCCUUUCCUGGAUGAAUCGGCUGAAGUGAGAACUAUUCUUGAACUGUCUCAACUCUUCAUAUAACUGCGGUGUGGAGUUGGACUGGCGAGCCUCCUUUA
Long non-coding RNA from Puntigrus tetrazona (Sumatra barb), 320 nucleotides. RefSeq lists it as uncharacterized. Lineage: Eukaryota; Metazoa; Chordata; Actinopteri; Cypriniformes; Cyprinidae. The transcript is spliced from 3 exons. The record is from RefSeq and is a predicted model, not a curated record.